UUCCUAAAGUGCAGAGGUUCUUUUAGCAAAGUUGCGUCGGUCGAAAGGGUACCAUGUUAUUUCAACCGUCGGAUCAUCCACUAACGUUCAUGAUUAUAUCAAUCAUCCCUUGAACCGGUAUGCUUUAACAGAUGUCGGAUGCAACUCACAUGGCCCAAAACUUAAAUAACUGGGAUCGACCCAGACCCGUCCGAUCACAAUCGAACGCUCCCCGAUCACUAUAGCCGAAGCACUACGUGCAUUUAAAUCAUCACCAUUUAUCGUCGAUCCAACGGCACCUGGAUACUCCUUUGCCUCCCCGCUCACAGGCCUAACCCCGAAACGACGACGUUGUGUCGCACUGCGGAGGCCAUGGUUGGAAAUCCCAAGCCCUUAAUCCACACUUAAGCUUCGAUCCUAACCUGUUUUCGCGCAGAGAAGGAGAGGGUAAACUAAUGAGACAGAUGCUCACUGGUUGUUGGCGGCGCAGAGAUCCUGCCCACGAAUCCCCACGACGCAGCGGCGAUGCACGGUCACCGACAUGAAAUUGCGGACGCCUCAGUAGGGUUCGUGCUGUGCUUGAUCUCGGGCGAGCUUCAACCGCGUCUGGUGAUAUUCCCUAAUGACUUUAUAGGGACCGAGUGGUGUUGUGGAUGAAUUCCCACAGCGGCGGCGACGUUCUGGUUCUCUCUCUCACCCUGCGCACAACUAUGGUGGUGGCGACGGUGCCUUCGACUAGGAAGGGAUGAGGGGAUGAGGGUCGUGGGGCUCCAUGUUUAUAGCAUGGGGACCGAGCCGCACACCUGGGCGAAG
This 792-nucleotide long non-coding RNA is filed under the name Zea mays. RNAcentral's name for it is "long non-coding RNA NONZMAT001787". Lineage: Eukaryota; Viridiplantae; Streptophyta; Magnoliopsida; Poales; Poaceae. The record is from RNAcentral.